This 701-nucleotide ribosomal RNA is filed under the name uncultured bacterium. Its description in RNAcentral is "bacterial SSU rRNA". It matches the Rfam family "Bacterial small subunit ribosomal RNA", at positions 129 to 832 of the family's 1533-position model. The record is from RNAcentral.
CCCAGUAGUGGGGGACAACAUUCGGAAACGGAUGCUAAUACCGCAUACGCCCUACGGGGAAAGCGGGGGAUCUUCGGACCUCGCGCUAUUGGAUGAGCCCAAGUCGGAUUAGCUAGUUGGUGAGGUAAUUGCUCACCAAGGCGACGAUCCGUAGCUGGUCUGAGAGGACGAUCAGCCACACUGGGACUGAGACACGGCCCAGACUCCUACGGGAGGCAGCAGUGGGGAAUAUUGGACAAUGGGCGCAAGUGAUCCAGCAAUGCCGCGUGUGUGAAGAAGGCCUGCGGGUUGUAAAGCACUUUCAGUAGAGAAGAAAAGCCUACGGUUAAUAACCGUGAGUCUUGACGUAACCUACAGAAGAAGCACCGGCUAACUCCGUGCCAGCAGCCGCGGUAAUACGGAGGGUGCGAGCGUUAAUCGGAAUUACUGGGCGUAAAGCGCGCGUAGGGGCUUUGUAAGUCGGAUGUGAAAUCCCCGGGCUUAACCUGGGAACUGCAUUCGAUACUGCUUAGCUAGAGUAUGGUAGAGGGAAGUGGAAUUCCGGGUGUAGCGGUGAAAUGCGUAGAUAUCCGGAGAACACCAGUGGCGAAGGGACUUCCUGGGCCAAUACUGACGCUGAGGUGCGAAAGGUGGGGAGCAAACAGGAUUAGAUACCCUGGUAGUCCACGCCGUAAACGAUGAGAACUAGAUGUCGGGAGGAU